RNAcentral lists this unclassified non-coding RNA (4216 nucleotides) under Haliotis rufescens (red abalone). Its description in RNAcentral is "mitochondrial Rho GTPase 1-like, transcript variant X3". The record is from RNAcentral. Lineage: Eukaryota; Metazoa; Mollusca; Gastropoda; Lepetellida; Haliotidae.
UGCGUACAUUAUCCGGAAGUUCCUAAAGAAAAUGGCGAUGGUUUUCGGAAAUCAUGUGAAGUAGAUAAAAACCUUAGGUUACAAGGAUAAAUGAAAAAGAUGAAGAAAAUAUAGUUGCAGGAUUGCAUGUUUUCGCGUAGUAGAAUAUAGAAUCUAAUUUGAUUCUGAAUGGACCGAGGGUUUUAGGCGUUAUCCCUAUUCAUCAAAAUGUGACAUCGUAAAUUCACUUUGCCCUUGAAAAGUUGUAGAAUAUAUUUAUUGUUAUUAUCAAACGUUCUUCAUCAUUCAUCAUGGGAUCAAGAAGAGACGUGAGAAUAUUACUCGUGGGAGAUGCUGGGGUUGGCAAAACAUCCUUGAUAUUGUCACUUGUAAGUGAAGAGUUUGCUGAAGAUGUACCAUCCCGGGCAGAGGAGAUCACCAUCCCAGCUGAUGUAACACCAGAACACGUACCUACGCACAUCGUAGACUACUCAGCUCAAGAACAAGAUGAAAAUGUGCUUCAAGAAGAAAUUCUUAAGGCGAGUGUCAUCUGUGUGGUGUAUUCUGUCACAGACGAGGAUUCCAUUCAGAGGUUGACCAUGUUCUGGCUGCCGUUACUGCGUGCAAGUCUGGGGGAUGAGCACCGAACCCCAGUCAUUCUUGUGGGGAACAAAGUUGACCUAGCAGACUUUCCAUCUCUAGAGACAAUUCUUCCCAUCAUGAACGACUUUGCAGAAGUGGAAACAUGUGUUGAAUGUUCUGCACGGACUUUGAAAAACAUCAGCGAAGUGUUCUACUAUGCCCAGAAGGCAGUCCUACAUCCCACAGCCCCUGUAUAUAACCCUGAAGAGAAAGAGUUGACGCCUGGUUGCAGGAAGGCUUUAACAAGAAUUUUCAGAAUUUGUGAUUUGGACAAUGAUAACAACCUGAAUGAUCAAGAAGUGAACGCCUUUCAGCAAAAAUGUUUCAAUGCACCUUUACACCCGCAAGCAUUAGAGGAUGUGAAGGCUAUCGUCAGUCGGCACACCAGCGAGGGCAUUUGUGAUGAUGGCAUUUCACUAAAAGGGUUUUUGUUUCUGCAUACACUAUUCAUACAGAAGGGAAGACAUGAAACGACAUGGACGGUGCUACGCAAGUUUGGAUAUGACGACAACCUGCAGUUAACGAAAGACUUCAUUGCGCCUAGGUUGCAAGUGGGACCAGGAAGUACAACUGAGCUGACACACCAAGGAUAUUCUUUUCUCACGAACCUCUUUGACAAGUAUGAUGAGGAUUGUGAUGGCUGCCUGAACCCAACCGAGCUGCAGAAUCUGUUCAGCACCUGCCCCAUCAUGCCGUGGGGGCCCGACGUCAACAACACCGUGUGCACCAACAGUGAGGGCUGGAUCGCCCUGCAGGGAUACCUCGCACAGUGGACAUUAACAACAUUACUAGAUGUUCCAAGGACUUUAGAAUAUCUUGGACACCUUGGCUACCAUUACCACCAUGAAACUCAGCUAUCAGCUAUACAAGUGACACGAGACAAGAAGAUCGACUUAGAAAAGAGACAAACAACAAGAAAUGUAUUUCGAUGUCAUGUAUUGGGUUCCAAGAAUGUUGGGAAGACGUCAUUACUGCAAGGGCUGUUGAGUCGGAACCUGAGGUAUGUGGCCACUCUGAACAAACACUUGCUGUCCAGCUUCACCAUGAACACAGUGCAGGUGUACGGACAAGAGAAGUACCUCAUGCUCCAUGAAGUAGAUGUUGCCAUGUGUGAGAUGUUGACGCCGACGGAGCUAGACUGUGAUGUGGCAUGUCUCGUGUAUGAUGUCACCAAUCCACGGUCGUUUGAAUUCUGUGCUAGAAUGUACUUGAAACAUUUCAUCGACAGUAAGAUCCCCACCCUGAUAGUGGCGUGUAAGGCUGAGCAUCCUGAGGUUCGCCAGGACUAUGAGUUCACCCCAGCCCAGUUCUGUAGCCGCUACAAGUUACCUCCACCUCAAUAUUUCACCUGCAUCGACAAAGUCAACUGGGAUGUUUAUGUCAAACUUGCAACUAUGGCUGCAUAUCCCAAUCUGAAACGUCUAGUACACAUGCUGUUGGUCCAUCAGAAGUCUCUCUGGCUGGAGGAGAAGUUCAGACACCUGAAGGGCCUCUACACUGACGAGAACAAGGUGUACAUCAGGCUAGGGAUUGGCCUUGUAGCACUCACUGGUAUGGGAUUUGCCAUGUAUAAAAUACUCAGAGCAUUAAGAUGAGGACUCUUGUUACUAGGAUUUUAGCACAAAUAUACCGUGUGAUCAAGAGAAAAUGGACUCUCAAGCAUUGUUGAAGUGAAGACCUGCCGUAUCAAAGAUUACCUGCACAACCCUCCAAGUUUUCUUGUUUAGGUUUCAAGCUUUUCUUCUCGGUACAGAAACUGUUGAUGACUUCACAGUAUUUGUUUGAUUUCGUGUCAAGUAUUUAUCAUCUAGCAAGGAAGAGCGAGGAGAGUCUUUGUUAACCUUAUGUGAUGUCGUUCUGUGUUAUCUUGACAAGAUGUGAUGUCGUUGCUAAGAUCAGGGUUUGUGAGAAGUACUACCAAUAUCGACGUCACGGUCAUGUUGAGGGUAUACCUGUAUACAUGUAACCUGCCGCCGGUGACAGGCAGGCGUCAAUGGGAUCGUGUGUUGAGGCUGAGUGUGGCAGCUGGGACGACUCAAGCCUGACAGUGGAGGUAUCGACUCCCCACCCUCACCAUGAACCUAUAGGAACUCAUCAGCAAUCAGUGUUUUUGUUAUAACUUACCAACAACUAUUGGGUAGGUUACGGUAUAUCCAGGCUCUUCUGUUACAGGGUGUACUCACACAUGAAGCUUGUACGUUCUGUGUUCCUGUGUUCGUUCCCAUGUUCCCAACAGCGGCUACACAUGCCCAAACAUUUCUGAACAAUCACACAGCUUGUUGAAUCUACAACAUACUUUUUGUGUAGUUUUAUAAUUAUUGCAACUAUUGUUGACUUGUCUUAUGUUUGCUACAUGAAUAAGUUUGUAUUUUGGUGUGUUUAGUACUUGCUUGUAUAAAUGUCUUCAAGCAAUAAUCAGUCCCAGGCAAGCUUCUACAAGUCUGUCCACUGGGGCAGAUCUAUUACUUUUAGAAGCUCCAUGUGUUUGACGAGGCCACCACCACCAAAGACCGCUCUGCGGUCAGAUUACAUACCUUGUGUAACAUUCCUUAAAAGUACCUGAUACAACAUACAAACUUGCGAAGCUACAUUCUUCUAUAAAUGGUUAUGACUAGAUACUAAAUAAUAUCUUAAGUUGCUGCAUAGGACUGACCUGAUUGAUGAUUGGGGAUGGGGAAGCGGAUUUAAAAAAGAAAAUGUUCCCAAUUAUAUUGGGAAAAAAUAAUUUGGCUAAAAAAGAUUAUUGUUCACCGGACAUGUGUUUUGGACCCAAAUCAUAGAAUCUUAGCUCCUCUUUUGAGAGAGAAAAAUAGUAAUAAAAUUAGACUCAACCAAAAGAAAACAAAAGUUUUCCAUUCAUUUUCCUACAAUGAAAAACUGUUUUGUGUGUACAAGUAUGUUUUUUGUAUCAAUAUCUGACCUCACAUGGUAUCGCAUUGAUCGAAUUGUUUUCUUCAGUGUAUGCAAUAUGUCAGGUUUUUACCUGACUUGUAUGGUGCUUACUCCAUGAACAAGAUUUAAAGAACAGGUAAUGAGACAUGUAGUCACAUGUUUUGUGAUAAUUGUAUCAGUUGGGUCAUUGUCAUCACAGGUACCACAGUAGUGUACCCCGGGUACCUUUCUGUAUGUCAACUGUACCAAGGUAUCUUACUGUAUGUUCCAAUGUAACCUAGAGAGGCAAUAUUUACGGCGUUGAAGUUUGGGUGAAAAGGUAAAUUGCACACUGCCGUAUUUUGCACACGUGAUGUGACAGCCAAGCUGGACCAGUGUCAUGAGUUGUAGUAAUACAGAGCUGUACAUGUAUAGCCAUGCUGGAUAACAUUUGUGUACACAGGAAAGUACCUAGGGUGCAUUUGUUUAUGCAGGAAGUAGGGCUGGGACGAUUCGAUACGUAUCACGAGACCUUGCUCACGAUCCGAUACAUAUCGCGAUACUUGCAUGUGCACUUAUCUGUGGUACGUCAUAGACAGGAUUGCCAAAUACCUGGCACACUAAUGAUUAACAGUUGGGAGUGUCAGGUAUGGCGCAAUGGAUGAAAAUAUUUACGUUUUCACUACUCAUUUUCACUAGUAAUCACUGGUAGUGUUUGCUGUAA